Molecule: long non-coding RNA, 1202 nt
Organism: Diabrotica virgifera virgifera (western corn rootworm)
Lineage: Eukaryota; Metazoa; Arthropoda; Insecta; Coleoptera; Chrysomelidae
Exons: 2
Source: RefSeq, a predicted model, not a curated record
CUGUACGGAACAUAGUUGAACCGUUCCUUGUCAUUUAAUUCGUGUUCCGUGAGAGUUUGACGUCUUCCUCGCUGAAUGAGAGAGGAAUGCUCUUUACUUGACUGUGAGCUGUGGUUCGAAUCGGUUAUACCAAUGGCGGGUUGAUAAUUUCAACUAUUUAAAUCAUUUUUGUUAAUUUCCAAGUGAAAAGCUAUCUGGAGCCUGGAGUAUGGAAACAUAUGUGUAACUCAACACCGCAUGGAAUCUGGAUAAGAAUCAACCCGCCAUUUGGGAGAAACCAUAAGAUGAAGUCAUAGCCCCUUCUUUGACCACCUAGGGAAACCACCACAGCCACAGUCAAGUCAACAUUGGGAGUAAGUCAUUUUUGGGAACAAGCUUUUUGGGAGUAUUCCAGCUCCUUUUCGUCCUGCCACCUGGGCCUACGGAGGGCAUGGGACCGCAUCAUCUUGAUGCUCAUUUCUGAGGAUGCAGCAGCAACCUCUUUAGGAGUCGUUUGGGAACAUUUAGUGUUGUGUUUUAAGUAACUAUGGUUUUUAUAUAUCAGACAUUUAUUUGAUACAUUAUGUUUAUUAAUUAUUUUUUUCAGAUUUAGCGUACCUUUGUUUUUAUAUGACAUAUUUGUAUACUAUGGUAUUUGGUUCCCAAACUUUGUAUCUACGGUAACUUCUUGUGCACAGGAAUAAGCCUAGAGAAAAUUAGGUUUUUAAUACUUUAUUAUUGGUUUAUGUAAUUCGGGUAAAUUUAUUUUGUAAUAUUACUAGCUUGUUUCCCAAAUAUUUUACUGUUAUUCGCUUUAUUCCAUUUGUUCGGUUAAUUUAGGUCAUCGUCGGUAUUUAUCUCAACUUCAUUUCUGCUUUAGUCAAUUGUAUAUUUAACUUUAUUUAUUCAUUAUUGUAUUUUCCCUUAGUGAGGCUUGGGCCUAUUUAUUUGUAGUAUUUUCAUCUUUGUCAGUUUCCUUUAGUUGUACGUAGCAGGCGUACUAUAACCAUUUGGUAGAAGACUUAUGUAAUUUUGUACCCUAUAUGUUAGUGAGAGGUACUUAUACCUGUAAUUUUGUAACAGAUAACAUUAUUGUUGUUAUCUUAGAGAUAACUUUUUGUAUAACUUAUGUCAUUUUAGAGUCACAUGAUAUACACUUUGUGUAACUCAGAGAUUGUCAAAAAUCUAGUAGUUAUUUUUAAUAAAUAUGUAUUUAUUUUGUA